UCUUGUCUGAGAAAUGCCAUAGACAGAGGAGCCUGGCAGGAUACAGUCCAGGGGGGAUUGAAAGGAACAUCCUUUCCUGACCAUGAGCUGACCUCAAGAACAGAGGAUCUGACUAAGAAGUCUGCAACAACUAACCAUACCCCUCCCUCCUCUUUCCUAUAAAAGGGCUUUGCUGAAAACUUUAUGGGAAUUUAGGAUUUUUAAAA
Molecule: long non-coding RNA, 206 nt
Organism: Bubalus bubalis (water buffalo)
Lineage: Eukaryota; Metazoa; Chordata; Mammalia; Artiodactyla; Bovidae
Exons: 2
Source: RefSeq, a predicted model, not a curated record